Molecule: ribosomal RNA, 133 nt
Filed under: uncultured bacterium
Lineage: Bacteria
Description: partial 16S ribosomal RNA
Rfam family: Bacterial small subunit ribosomal RNA
Source: RNAcentral
AGGAAUAUUGGUCAAUGGUCGAGAGACUGAACCAGCCAUGCCGCGUGCAGGAUGAAGGCGCUAUGCGUUGUAAACUGCUUUUCUAUAGGAAGAAACCUAUCCUCGUGAGGAUAGCCGACGGUACUAUAGGAAU